CCUACGGGAGGCAGCAGUAAGGAAUAUUGGACAAUGCUCGCAAGAGUGAUCCAGCCAUGCCGCGUGCAGGAAGAAUGCCCUAUGGGUAGUAAACUGCUUUUGAACUAGAGAAAAUCCCAGUACGUGUACUGGGCUGAUAGUAUAGUUAGAAUAAGCAUCGGCUAACUUCGUGCCAGCAGCCGCGGUAAGACGAAGGAUGCAAGCGUUAUCCGGAUUCAUUGGGUUUAAAGGGAGCGUAGGUGGACUGAUAAGUCAGUGGUGAAAUCUCCGAGCUUAACUCGGAAAUUGCCAUUGAUACUGUUGGUCUUGAGUACAGUUGCUGUGGGCGGAAUAUGACAUGUAGUGGUGAAAUACAUAGAGAUGUCAUAGAACACCGAUUGCGAAGGCAGCUCACAAAGCUGUAACUGACACUGAGGCUCGAAAGUGCGGGGAUCAAACAGGAUUAGAUACCCUGGUAGUCCGCACCGUAAACGAUGAUUACUCGCUGCUAGGGGGCAACCUUUAGUGGCUUAGAGAAGACGAGAAGUAAGUACACCGUCGGGUAGGUACGCCGGCGACGGUAGAAACGUUAAAGGUAAGUUAGUUACGGCGUUGAGGACGNGCCGACGGACGACGACGAGGGAGGUAGG
Molecule: ribosomal RNA, 629 nt
Filed under: uncultured bacterium
Lineage: Bacteria
Description: bacterial SSU rRNA
Rfam family: Bacterial small subunit ribosomal RNA (bases 1-536)
Source: RNAcentral